RNAcentral lists this ribosomal RNA (486 nucleotides) under Candida tropicalis. RNAcentral describes it as "eukaryotic LSU rRNA". The stretch from base 140 to 293 matches the Rfam family "5.8S ribosomal RNA". Lineage: Eukaryota; Fungi; Ascomycota; Pichiomycetes; Serinales; Debaryomycetaceae. The record is from RNAcentral.
AGGCAUUUGCUUAUUGCACCACAUGUGUUUUUUAUUGAACAAAUUUCUUUGGUGGCGGGAGCAAUCCUACCGCCAGAGGUUAUAACUAAACCAAACUUUUUAUUUACAGUCAAACUUGAUUUAUUAUUACAAUAGUCAAAACUUUCAACAACGGAUCUCUUGGUUCUCGCAUCGAUGAAGAACGCAGCGAAAUGCGAUACGUAAUAUGAAUUGCAGAUAUUCGUGAAUCAUCGAAUCUUUGAACGCACAUUGCGCCCUUUGGUAUUCCAAAGGGCAUGCCUGUUUGAGCGUCAUUUCUCCCUCAAACCCCCGGGUUUGGUGUUGAGCAAUACGCUAGGUUUGUUUGAAAGAAUUUAACGUGGAAACUUAUUUUAAGCGACUUAGGUUUAUCCAAAAACGCUUAUUUUGCUAGUGGCCACCACAAUUUAUUUCAUAACUUUGACCUCAAAUCAGGUAGGACUACCCGCUGAACUUAAGCAUAUCAAA